Molecule: ribosomal RNA, 449 nt
Filed under: uncultured bacterium
Lineage: Bacteria
Description: bacterial SSU rRNA
Rfam family: Bacterial small subunit ribosomal RNA
Source: RNAcentral
GUCGAGAAUUUUUCUCAAUGGGCGAAAGCCUGAAGGAGCGACGCCGCGUGGAGGAUGAAGGUCUUCGGAUUGUAAACUCCUGUCAUUAGGGAACAAGUGCCGGCAUUUAACUGGUGUCGGCUUGAUAGUACCUGAAGAGGAAGAGACGGCUAACUCUGUGCCAGCAGCCGCGGUAAUACAGAGGUCUCAAGCGUUGUUCGGAUUCAUUGGGCGUAAAGGGUGCGUAGGCGGCGCCGUAAGUCAGGUGUGAAAUCCCGGGGCUCAACCCCGGAACGGCACUUGAUACUGCGGUGCUUGAGGACUGGAGAGGAGACUGGAAUUCCCGGUGUAGCAGUGAAAUGCGUAGAUAUCGGGAGGAAGGCCAGUGGCGAAGGCGGGUCUCUGGACAGUUCCUGACGCUGAGGCACGAAGGCCAGGGGAGCAAACGGGAUUAGAAACCCUAGUAGUCC